UACAGAGGGUGCGAGCGUUGUCCGGAAUUACUGGGCGUAAAGGGUGCGUAGGCGGCCAUUUAAGUCCUGUGUGAAAUGCCCCGGCUCAACCGGGGAGGGACAGGGGAAACUGGAUGGCUUGAGUGCCGGAGAGGGUGGCGGAAUUCCCGGUGUAGCGGUGAAAUGCGUAGAGAUCGGGAGGAACACCAGUGGCGAAGGCGGCCACCUGGACGGCAACUGACGCUGAGGCACGACAGCUGGGGGAGCGAACAGG
This 253-nucleotide unclassified non-coding RNA is filed under the name uncultured Bacillota bacterium. RNAcentral describes it as "uncultured Firmicutes bacterium contains 16S-23S intergenic spacer region". It matches the Rfam family "Bacterial small subunit ribosomal RNA", at positions 524 to 776 of the family's 1533-position model. The record is from RNAcentral. Lineage: Bacteria; Bacillati; Bacillota.